CCUACGGGAGGCAGCAGUGGGGAAUCUUGCGCAAUGGGCGAAAGCCUGACGCAGCCAUGCCGCGUGAAUGAUGAAGGUCUUAGGAUUGUAAAAUUCUUUCACCGGGGACGAUAAUGACGGUACCCGGAGAAGAAGCCCCGGCUAACUUCGUGCCAGCAGCCGCGGUAAUACGAAGGGGGCUAGCGUUGCUCGGAAUUACUGGGCGUAAAGGGAGCGUAGGCGGAUAGUUUAGUCAGAGGUGAAAGCCCAGGGCUCAACCUUGGAAUUGCCUUUGAUACUGGCUAUCUUGAGUGUGGGAGAGGUAUGUGGAACUCCGAGUGUAGAGGUGAAAUUCGUAGAUAUUCGGAAGAACACCAGUGGCGAAGGCGACAUACUGGCCCAUUACUGACGCUGAGGCUCGAAAGCGUGGGGAGCAAACAGGAUUAGAUACCCUGGUAGUCCACGCUGUAAACGAUGAGUGCUAGUUGUCGGCAUGCAUGCAUGUCGGUGACGCAGCUACGACAUAAGACACNCCGCCGUGGGAGGUACGGUCGCGAAGAGUUAAACGUUACGAAAGUAAGUUAGAGGCGNGAGACGNGCCGACGGACGACGACGAGGGAGGAGG
This 604-nucleotide ribosomal RNA is filed under the name uncultured bacterium. Its description in RNAcentral is "bacterial SSU rRNA". The stretch from base 1 to 517 matches the Rfam family "Bacterial small subunit ribosomal RNA", at positions 338 to 873 of the family's 1533-position model. The record is from RNAcentral.